AGAGUUUGAUCCUGGCUCAGGAUGAACGCUGGCGGCGUGCCUAAUACAUGCAAGUCGAACGAGGCCCAAUGUACUUGUACAGAGGUGUCCUAGUGGCGAACGGGUGAGUAACGCGUUGGUGACCUGCCCCGAAGUGGGGGAUAACAGUUCGAAAGGACUGCUAAUACCCCAUGUGACUGUGAGAGUUAGAGGUCUCACUAUCAAAGGAGUAAUCCGCUUCGGGAGGGGCCUGCGUCCCAUCAGCUAGUUGGUAAGGUAAUGGCUUACCAAGGCUUAGACGGGUAGGGGACCUGAGAGGGUGACCCCCCACACUGGGACUGAGACACGGCCCAGACUCCUACGGGAGGCAGCAGUGGGGAAUUUUGGACAAUGGGGGCAACCCUGAUCCAGCCAUGCCGCGUGAGUGAAGAAGGCCUUCGGGUUGUAAAGCUCUUUCAGUUGGGAAGAAACGGAGUUCUCUAACAUAGGGCUCUACUGACG
Molecule: ribosomal RNA, 480 nt
Filed under: uncultured bacterium
Lineage: Bacteria
Description: bacterial SSU rRNA
Rfam family: Bacterial small subunit ribosomal RNA
Source: RNAcentral